CCGUAGUCUCUAGAGAGUUUGUAUCCUGGCUCAGAGUGAACGCUAGCGGAGGCUAACACAUGCAAGCCGAGCGGUGAGAUCUUUCGGGAUCUUGAGAGCGGCGUACGGUGCGGAACACGUGUGCAACCUGCUUUAUCUGGGGAUAGCCUUUCGAAGGAAGAUUAAUACCCCAUAAUAUACUGGAUGGCAUCAUUCGGUAUUGAAAACUCCGGUGGAUAGAGAUGGGCACGCGCAAGAUUAGAUAGUUGGUGAGGUAACGGCUCACCAAGUCUACGAUCUUUAGGGGGCCUGAGAGGGUGAUCCCCCACACUGGUACUGAGACACGGACCAGACUCCUACGGGAGGCAGAAGUGAGGAAUAUUGGACAAUGGGUGAGAGCCUGAUCCAGCCAUCCCGCGUGAAGGACGACGGCCCUAUGGGUUGUAAACUUCUUUUGUAUAGGGAUAAACCUACCCUCGUGAGGGUAGCUGAAGGUACUAUACGAAUAAGCACCGGCUAACUCCGUG
This 506-nucleotide ribosomal RNA is filed under the name uncultured Chryseobacterium sp. RNAcentral describes it as "bacterial SSU rRNA". It matches the Rfam family "Bacterial small subunit ribosomal RNA", at positions 1 to 507 of the family's 1533-position model. Lineage: Bacteria; Pseudomonadati; Bacteroidota; Flavobacteriia; Flavobacteriales; Weeksellaceae. The record is from RNAcentral.